CAGAGUGGAUGUCCCUCCCAAUCCACCGUCGAUGGCCACUGGUCUCCAGAGAACGUGGGCGACGGCGGAGUGGAGGACGAGCAUGCCGUCGCGCCCUGUUUGGAGCGGUGCGAGGUGCUGGUUUCUGCGAUCGCGGGGAUGCUGGCCGGCGCGCUGAGGGAGCACGACAAGCGGGCGGCCAUCAUCGCUCCGAUCCACGACGGGGACGCCGCUGCAAUCGACCACCUCAACGGAGGCGUGGAAAUGCGGCGACAUCCCAAAAUGUACUUGGCCUCUUUGGGAUUGAAACCUAUCUGUUGUUUCUUGCGACUAUUCAGGUGGCUAGAUUUCCAAUCCGGUAAAAAAAAUUGGACGCACCAAAUACCACUUGAAAGCAAGGAUUUUCAGCAUUCGCGAGAGGAUUUCAACAACGAACAUGCUACUCAAGUCCAUACAUCAACACAUAAACAACUUUGAUAGAAUUAUUUAUACUGGUGCCUCAGGUGGUUCUAUCAUUAUAAUAUUUUUGUCCUAUUGAUCUUCAUCUGUGAAUCAGCAGAGUGAAUCAGCAUGAACUCAUUUCUGUAUGUUUACAGAUUAUUCAUCUCCUGUACAGAAAGUUGAUAAUGAAGUUGGAUCAAGGUGCACCACUUAGUUCACCUUUUUUACCACUUCUCAUUGUUUAUCUUGUGCAUGUUGUCAAUUUAUAGAUUUUCC
Molecule: unclassified non-coding RNA, 696 nt
Filed under: Zea mays
Lineage: Eukaryota; Viridiplantae; Streptophyta; Magnoliopsida; Poales; Poaceae
Description: misc RNA Zm00001eb098870
Source: RNAcentral